UGGUGGUGGUGGUGUGCCGUCGCCGAAACUACUUUUGCUGUUGUUGCGUUGCUACUACUAUCUUAAUAUUUUUGUUCUGUGUGCAGUUGUCGUAUGUUUUCGAAAGGGAAUCCGGUUGAUAUUCCGGAACCGAGUAACGGAGACAAAGAGUAGCGCUUUAAUCUCUUUCGGGUUGGCGUUCAACUCAAUCGCGCGGUAACGCAAGCGAACUCGGAAAAUGACCGUCGUGAGUUUCGAAAAGAGUUUUCUUUUCUUUUUAAGGGACGCAUUCCCUGGAACCGGGUUGUCCGGAGAUAGGGAUUCUGGUAUCCAUAAAACGCCGACUCUUUCACGGUGUUCGGAGCGCUCUCGUCGGUACGUGAAAAUCCGAGCGACGCCUGGUAAAUCUCGUACUUGGUCGUACUGAUAUCCGCAGCAGGUCUCCAAGGUGAAUAGCCUCUGGCCGAUAGAAUAAUGUAGGUAAGGGAAGUCGGCAAAACGGAUCCGUAACUUCGGAACAAGGAUUGGCUCUAAGGGCUGGGCCGAUCGGGCUGAGGUUUCAAGCGUGCAGUGUAUGCUUGGCUGAGUUGUGUUGAGGAUUGAUUCGCUUGGUGCCGUUUGUUGAACCAAUCGGCUUGCCAGGUGGUCAUGUCUGAAGCAAAGCUGGCCGACAGACCGGCACGUGCAGAACCUGAGCUGCGCGGCUGUCAGUUCAUUUGUACAGACCGUUUCGGUCGGCAUUCAACAGCCAACUUAGAACUGGCACGGACACAAGGAAUCUGACUGUAUAAUUAAAACAAAGCAUUGCGAUGGCCGAUGAUCGGUGUUGACGCAAUGUGAUUUCUGCCCAGUGCUCUGAAUGUCAAAGUGAAGAAAUUCAAUCAAGCGCGGGGUAGCCAAAUGCCUCGUCAUCUAAUUAGUGACGCGUAUGAAUGGAUCAACAAGAUUCCUUCUGUCCCUAUCUACUAUCUAGCGAAACCACAGCCAAGGGAACGGGCUUGGCAAAAUCAGCGGGGAAAGAAGACCCUGUUGAGCUUGACUCUAGUCUGACUCUGUGAAGAGACAUGAAAGGUGUAGCAUAGGUGGGAGGCUGCAGUAGGGCGCUGUUCGGUGUCUCUGUGGUCGCCAAUGAAAUACCACUACUUUGAUCGUUUCUUUACUUAUUCGGUAAAGCGAAAAAAUUGUGGCCAAUUUGGCGGUCUGUCCGCUGUUGGUCAUUGUUUUAAUGUUGGAUUGAAGCUUUGUUUAUAGCCGUCGCUUUGUGUCGCCGUUUGACGCAUUGGCUGGGUGCGUAUUUGUGCGCGCGCGGUAAUGUUGUCAGCGGAUGAUCGGCGAUUGGUUUGAAGUGAUUCGCUCCGGAAACAGUGUCAGACGGGGAGUUUGACUGGGGCGGUACAUCUGUUAAACGAUAACGCAGGUGUCCUAAGGUAAGCUCAGCGAGGACAGAAACCUCGCCUAGAGUAAACGGGCACAAGCUUACUUGAUUUUGAUUUCCAGUACGAAUAAAAACCGCGAAAGCGUGGCCUAUCGAUCCUUUUGAUUGUGUAGAUUUCACGCAAGAGGUGUCAGAAAAGUUACCACAGGGAUAACUGGCUUGUGGCAGCCAAGCGUCCAUAGCGACGUUGCUUUUUGAUCCUUCGAUGUCGGCUCUUCCUAUCAUUGCGAAGCAGAAUUCGCCAAGCGUUGGAUUGUUCACCCACCAAUAGGGAACGUGAGCUGGGUUUAGACCGUCGUGAGACAGGUUAGUUUUACCCUACUGAUGACAAGUCGUUGCGAUAGUAAUCCUGCUCAGUACGAGAGGAACCGCGGGAUCAGACAUUUGGUUCAUGCGCUCGGCUGAAAGGCCGGUGGCGCGAAGCUAGCAUCUGCAAGAUUAUGACUGAACGCCUCUAAGUCAGAAUCUUUUCUAGUCAUUGGCAACGAUAAGUUGCGUCCGGACUCGAUGCGAGGAAACGAUUAGGCUUUGCUGUGUUUUGCGCAGCGAAGCCGUUAUCAUACCACGGUAGCAGGCAGUUGGGAUGGUUACGAAAAAGCAAUUUUUUGAAGUCAGUUGAAUUCAAUCAAACUGCUAACAAUCCCACUGCGAAUGACUACACUCGAAUCU
Molecule: ribosomal RNA, 2083 nt
Filed under: Trichinella papuae
Lineage: Eukaryota; Metazoa; Nematoda; Enoplea; Trichinellida; Trichinellidae
Description: eukaryotic LSU rRNA
Rfam family: Eukaryotic large subunit ribosomal RNA
Source: RNAcentral